Molecule: long non-coding RNA, 318 nt
Filed under: Citrus x clementina
Lineage: Eukaryota; Viridiplantae; Streptophyta; Magnoliopsida; Sapindales; Rutaceae
Description: Citrus clementina (C. clementina) long non-coding RNA (CCLE_LNC003504)
Source: RNAcentral
UAUUGUUAUUCUUUGAUAGUAAUUAUAAAAUUUUUAUGUUACGAAAAGUCAUUAUUUUAUUAUGAUAAUUAAUAGUGACAAUAAAUAAAAUAUCACAUCAAAUAAUAUUUAAUGGAAAAAAUGAGGAAAAAAAUCAUUGCAUGUUUUUAUAUUUCCAUUAUAAAGAUAUGGUUUGGGAUACUUUAACUUAAAAUUUUGACACAAUAUUUGAGCCACUAAUAUAUCAUAAUCUAAUGGUUGAUAUUGAAAGUCAAAGCAACAUUUCAUAAUGUUAUAUCCUCCACCAUUGAAUUGCAUGAAAUAAAUAAUUUUAUUUUU